Chlorocebus sabaeus (green monkey) is the source of this 2565-nucleotide non-coding RNA. NCBI's taxonomy places the organism in Eukaryota, Metazoa, Chordata, Mammalia, Primates, Cercopithecidae. The record is from RefSeq and is a predicted model, not a curated record.
UUGUUUGUUGUUGGGGUGUGAGAGAGAGAAGGUUCGAGAUCACCUGGCCCGGUGGGCACGGCUCCGGAGCGGGAGCUGGGCCGGGUGGGCUGGCUUGGGCAGGGGCCCGCCACAAGGGUGAAGGACUCCCCUCGCCCACCCCCAGCCCCGGCUCCGAGCCCGCGGCCCGGCCGCCCCCUCGCCGCGCCCCCGCCGGGCUCUCCGGCCCGCGUCGGGUGCCAGGACGCCCCAGGCAGAGGGCCUGCCUUAGGGUUACCACGGGGAGCCAGGCUUUCCUGCUCUCCAGGAUCCUGCAGUCGGAGGCUGGGAUGGGCAGGGGCUAGAGAGACAAGUAGACAGAAAACAGAGUGAUAACUUUAUGACAGCAACACGUAAUGGCUGCUGAGGAGGAAGGAGGGCUGCCAGGGUCUGCCCCUGGCGAGGGGCUGGGUUGAGGUGCGGGGACGUUCCAAGAAGGGGCUAAGCCGAGAGCGGAGCCUGAAGGAGCAGGCACUCUUCGGGCAGGCUGCCAUAGGUGGGGGAAAGAUGAGGACACCCUAAGCGCGAGUACCAGUUUCAGCAAAGGUGCAGAGCUGUGGUAUAGGGGUGAGGCAGCAGAUGAGGCCGGAGAGGUGGGUAGGGCUACCUAAGCUUUGUAAACCCUGCCAAGGAGCUCUGUCCCAAAGGCGUUGGAGAACAUAGAAGGAUUUUGAGGAAAGGACGCUUCUGGUCUGAGAUCCGAGAGGCGAGUUGGGAGAGCAGCACGGGGGGUGUGAGUUCAGGCAGGAGGAUCUUGCAUCUCAGUUCCCUCGCAGUGCUCACCUGUUCCAGGGACUUCUGACCUUGGGUCUCGCCCUCCCUCCCAGACUCCUCCAGAAUCCUCAUUCUCAGAGUCCAAGCCUGACUUCCUGGAAAGGUCUCCCGAAGCUCAGGUGAAACUCUCCUGAAGCUCAAGUCCACCUUGUUCUCUGCUGCCCUGAACUCCACGGACUCCAAGCUGUCUCCUCCUCACACAUUCCUGACCAUCUGCUGUUUUGCCUACAUACAGACCCCUGGGAAGAUGAGGAAAUCCAGAUCUGGAAUGGACAGUGUAUUGAGAACCUCCAAAGCCAGCAGGAGGUCCAGAGGGGGCAGGUGUCUUACAGAAGACAUGAACAGGCACUCAACAUACGUUUCUUUAUUUAACCCUCAAAAACUCUGGAACAUCAGAUACACUUCAGCCAACUUCCAGCUACAAGCAAACUCAGUGUUCUCCCAAUGUUUCCACUGUGGGGUAAAGGCACUGGCAGUUUUAAAAGUCAAGAACCUUGGACUCAUCCUUGGCACCUCCCUCUCCCUCCCGAGCCGCCACCCAUAGCUAAUCCAUCACCACAGCCUGUCAUUUACUGGAGCCUCCAGCCUCGAAUCUCCUCCCACCUCUGUGACCAACCACAGCCCGGCCUCCCGCAUCCACUCUGCCCCAGUCAGAGGGCUCUCAGUCAGAGGGAUCUUUCCAAAAUAGACUGCAUCAUAGCACUCUGCUGCUUAAACCCUUCCGUGACUCCUGUUUACACUCAGGAUAAAGAUCCAAAUCUGGAACUGACUGUUGUUGCCGCCCCAGCCAGGAGGCUCUCUGAUCUCAUCUCUCAGGCUCAGUCACACUCCGCAACCUGCGAUGCUUUCUUCCUGGCAAGCCUGGCAAGCCGGUGAUUCCUGGCUAAGACCUGCCUCCCCGGCUAGGCUAGGGUGAAAACCACAUCUGCGUCUGCCUGGGUCCUACUGUUUCCCCAUGGCCCACAGGGUACCUGCACAUGAUAGGUUCUCGGUAAUAGCUACUCAGUGAUGAAUGAAUGGCAGAGAAAUCAAGCCUUUGCCUGUGCCGCAGCAGCUCUGCAGCCUGACUGCUCUGCCAGGUGGCCACAGUGCUAGACUGCCAUAUUAGCUUAGAAAACUACCUCCUGCAGCCACACUGUGUGCCAGGCUCUGCCUCCCUACCUUUAAACACACUCAUCCUGACCCAGUUUGCCUGUUUUCAGGAGUGAUCACCAACAUUUGUACUUUUUGUGACUUGUACAUAUUUUUACUAUAAGAUUUCCUGACCCGAUUCAUUCAACAACUGGAUAACAAUUGGUUAUGGGUUUGACAAGGCAGACUCAUUGAAAUUUGGAGGCAUAAACAGUUCUGGCUUUGGCAGUCCAGAUGGCUUCCCCAAGAAGCUAGAGGCUGUGGCCCCAGAACUCUGCUCUUUUAGCUGCUGCUAAAAAGAUGGGAGAAUUUAGUUCAAGGCAAAGCCUUGCGAUUCCCCCCUGCCCACUCCUGCCCUCCCUGCUCCAAGGCCGCCCUUGAUGUUUUAUUUAAAUCUGAUUUCAUCUAGAUAAGCUUGGUGGAGGGCAAAGGAAAGAAGUCAUCCUCCCUGCAGCCUGCCCCCCCCAACCCCCGCCGCUUUGCAUUCAUUAUGCAAGUAUUUGUUUGGAGGGAGAGGGGCUCCACUGAGCCACGUGCAAAGUGUUGGGGAUACAGCAGCAAACCAGAGACAGGUGGGUAUGUAGUGGGUUAGUGCCAUGCUGGGUCUUAAAGAAUGGGUAACAUUAAAAUUGGAGUAAUUGA